AAUAAAAUAAUAUUGUCUGCUUAAAUCCUUAGAUCCUAUACUUUAUUAUGUUACAAAUUUAAUAAAUGGAAUUAUUAUAGCAGUCGUAUAGUAGAAGUUAUUGUAGUUUACGUUUCGGCAACACCGUGAACUGAAAAAAUGAAUGAAUUCUAUUGAACAAAAUGGCGUUUGUUUACAUUUGUGGUUUGAUGAUAAAGAAGGAUUGAAUAACUUUUAAGCUAGCUUUUUUUUAUAUCGUAGAAGUUACUGCGUAAUUAUGGUGAAUACUUGUGUUGUAAGAGGUUGUAAGCAAGAAUCCUAUCCAGGUUGUGAAAUAUCCUUUCAUAGGAUUCCAGUUAAUAAAGAGUGGAGGGCCUUGUGGGUUGAUGCCAUGAACCUUGACACUAAUGUGACAAAAACUGCAUGUGUUUGUAGCUUACAUUUUACUGAUGAUGCGUAUUUAACAGUAGCUAAGAAUAAGUCAAAGCCACAAGCAGUUCCUUCAGUAUUGCCUAAGAUAGUUCCAGAAAGCAAAAAAUUUACAGUUCUGCGUAUUCAAAAGUUGAAAGGAGGAUCUUUUGUACAUACUUCAUAUUCUAGUCAUAUCACAGUAGUAGGAACUUCUUAUGAACGAAGAGGACCUUCUAGUAAACGGGAUGAUGUAGAAAUGUCUGGUGAACCGCCCAAUAAAAAAAACAAAAUGGAAGAAUCAAGCAAUAAAUAUUAUAUAUUGGUUA
RNAcentral lists this long non-coding RNA (716 nucleotides) under Manduca sexta (tobacco hornworm). RNAcentral's name for it is "uncharacterized LOC119192483". The record is from RNAcentral. Lineage: Eukaryota; Metazoa; Arthropoda; Insecta; Lepidoptera; Sphingidae.